UCUUUCUUUGGGUCUCACAUUUUUCACCAAUUCGGUCCUUAAGUUACUUAAGGUCUUUUAGUUUUACUUUGCAUGUCUCUAAAUUGAGGCUGAUAAUCUUUGCCUCACAUAAAUCGGGUGGAAAUGCUUGGUAAGUACGAAGCAUUUCACAAAGGUCAGGGUUCAUCUUCAUGGCUGCUAUUAGAAAUGGAUCUGACAGCUGCGUCCCCUGCACGCUCAUCCCAGAGUCUCCAUUGGGCCCAUUCUCUGUCUGGAUCUGUACAGAGCCCUGCACCAACGACUGAGUCCCCAGCAGGUCCAAGGUGUGGCUCCAGCAGGUCCUGUGGCUGAGGCAGCCCAGGUGUCUUCAUCCAGGAAUUCCAGGAGUCCAUGUGAUUCCUCCCCCGAAUAAGAAUGCCUCCCUCCUGGGUCACACACCCUGCUGGAGUUCUGUUCCCACAGCCUUUCCUGUGGUCCACAGAAGGGAGUGUCCAGGUCUCAUAGUAAGCCAGUUAGUGGUAUGAGAGCAAAUCAGUGAAGAAGCCAUCACCAGAGUGUGGGCUGAGUGAGCCCAGGGCCACCCAAAUACAGUUGCUGCACUCUGGAGUAAAAUAGAAAAUGAUCUGGUGGUCUUUGUAGUUGGUGUGAGUGGAGAAAUAGGUUCUGAGCCUGGACAAAGCUAACUGGCUUCUGCCCAGUAGAAUACAGCCAGGGGACAGGAUAGUAAGGGGGUGUUACGAACACUGGAAUGCCAAUAAAUAUGACAACCUAGAUGAAAUGGACGAACUCCUUGAAAAACACAGAGGACCAAAGCUUGCUCAGUAAGAAAUAGAUAACCUGGGCUGGGUGCAGUGGCUCAUGCCUAUAAUCA
RNAcentral lists this long non-coding RNA (850 nucleotides) under Homo sapiens (human). RNAcentral describes it as "HSALNT0001392". Lineage: Eukaryota; Metazoa; Chordata; Mammalia; Primates; Hominidae. The record is from RNAcentral.